RNAcentral lists this unclassified non-coding RNA (245 nucleotides) under plant metagenome. RNAcentral describes it as "partial contains small subunit ribosomal RNA, internal transcribed spacer 1, and 5.8S ribosomal RNA". The record is from RNAcentral.
UCUCCGUUGGUGAACCAGCGGAGGGAUCAUUACCGAGUUUACAACUCCCAAACCCGAUGUGAACGUUACCAAACGGUUGCCUCGGCGGGGUCACGCCCCGGGUGCGUCGCAGCCCCGGAACCAGGCGCCCGCCGGAGGAACCAACCAAACUCUUUCUGUAGUCCCCUCGCGGACGUUAUUUCUUACAGCUCUGAGCAAAAAUUCAAAAUGAAUCAAAACUUUCAACAACGGAUCUCUUGGUUCUG